This 462-nucleotide ribosomal RNA is filed under the name uncultured bacterium. RNAcentral's name for it is "partial 16S ribosomal RNA". It matches the Rfam family "Bacterial small subunit ribosomal RNA", at positions 28 to 507 of the family's 1533-position model. The record is from RNAcentral.
GAUGAACGCUGACAGAAUGCUUAACACAUGCAAGUCAUUGGCGAAGCUGCGCUUGCGCAGUCUAGCCAAGGCGGACGGGUGAGUAACGCGUAAGGAACUUGCCCUGCAGACAGGGAUAACAGACGGAAACGACUGAUAACACCUGGUAUUGUCAGGCUGGCGCAUGCCGGCCUGAUGAAAGGAGACGCUGCAGGAGAGCCUUGCGUCCUAUUAGCUAGUUGGUGGGGUAACGGCCCACCAAGGCGAUGAUAGGUAGCCGGCCUGAGAGGGUGAACGGCCACAAGGGGACUGAGAUACGGCCCUGACUCCUACGGGAGGCAGCAGUGGGGAAUAGUGGACAAUGGGGGCAACCCUGAUCCAGAAAUUCUGUGUGCACGAAGAAGGUUUUCGGAGUGUAAAGUGCUUUCAGCAGGGAAGAAGAAAGUGACGGUACCUGCAGAAGAAGCGACGGCUAAAUACGUG